GAGUAAUGUCUGGGAAACUGCCUGAUGGAGGGGGAUAACUACUGGAAACGGUAGCUAAUACCGCAUAACGUCGCAAGACCAAAGAGGGGGACCUUCGGGCCUCUUGCCAUCGGAUGUGCCCAGAUGGGAUUAGCUAGUAGGUGGGGUAACGGCUCACCUAGGCGACGAUCCCUAGCUGGUCUGAGAGGAUGACCAGCCACACUGGAACUGAGACACGGUCCAGACUCCUACGGGAGGCAGCAGUGGGGAAUAUUGCACAAUGGGCGCAAGCCUGAUGCAGCCAUGCCGCGUGUAUGAAGAAGGC
RNAcentral lists this ribosomal RNA (304 nucleotides) under Escherichia coli. RNAcentral's name for it is "bacterial SSU rRNA". It matches the Rfam family "Bacterial small subunit ribosomal RNA", at positions 108 to 415 of the family's 1533-position model. Lineage: Bacteria; Pseudomonadati; Pseudomonadota; Gammaproteobacteria; Enterobacterales; Enterobacteriaceae. The record is from RNAcentral.